Pseudophryne corroboree (corroboree frog) is the source of this 2040-nucleotide long non-coding RNA. RefSeq lists it as uncharacterized. The transcript has 4 exons. Lineage: Eukaryota; Metazoa; Chordata; Amphibia; Anura; Myobatrachidae. The record is from RefSeq and is a predicted model, not a curated record.
CCGCACGUUACGAGGCGGACAUGUUUGUUACUGGCAACGGGUAACGGGUUUAUGGUCGUGUGGUGCCAUCUACUGGGGUAAUACAGGCGUAUUGCGAGCAGAACCUGCAAACCAAGAAGCACAAGACCGGAUACAGAAUGCACCACACACACGAAGGCUGACAAACACAGCAUUAAGGAGAAGCUCACAUGCGACACAACUGGGGUCUUCUACCUUCCACAAUGUCUGUAGGAAGAAGAGUAGGAAACCUCAAGACAAGAAUAGCUGAACCCAUAAGAAGCACUAUAAAUAUGACCACAGCAUCUAAGAAUACUUCAGUCAAUUCCAUAACCACGAUUCAGCAGGCCUCACCUUCAUCGUGAUCAGAAAGCAGAGAAGGCACAGUGAGGAGGACACCAGAAGUCUCUCAAGAGAAGGUGCUAGAUGGAUCUUUAACCCAGGAACACUGACACCAAGAGGCCUCAUCGUUGAGCUUGAGUUUAGGCCUUUCCUGGCCUCUCAGCAACAUAAAAAGCUGUUCACGUAAUAUCCGUUGAAACUAUACUCCAUAAAUCAGCAUUUUAUAAGCUUACCUCUGCACCAGAAUUAGUAUGUACAAUUGUCAAGUGCAUAGGGAAGCGAUACUAGAGGAAUGCCAUCGAAACGUGUCGGUUUUCUGCGGCUUUAACAGAUAUACUGGCCUUUUUGUUGCCGAGUUUACAGGGAAAUGACAAAAGGAAUAUGAACAUCGCAAGUAUCCAAUCCCAUGUGAAUAUAAAGUAUAUUACCAUCAUUGAACAAGCUUUUUUUAUAUUUGUUCAGCUAAACUUCCAAAAUAUACAUUGCGAAUUAUAGUUUACUGAUGGGAGCUGACAUUUAUUCCACAAGCAAAAUGUAUUUCAGAUUCAAAUAUUUGUAUCUAUAUCAUGUCAAAUUCCAAGCUAAAAAAGGCUGUAAAUAGUUCAAGCUACUCAGUACUUGUUUAUAAAGCAACAACUAAGAUAUAUAUUGUUUGUAUGAUUUAGCAUAGCUCUUUGGGGUAAUUUAAUUCAGUGCAAUCGCCCCGAAUGUUGCCUUACAACUUUGAGACGGAAAGCACUUCACAACCAGCAUCUGCAGUAAUUUUCCCACACACAUCCUAAUUAGCUCGGAUUGGGUAGCGUACUGGACAUUAAUGUACACAUGUACUGUAGGUACCUACGAAUGUUCGGCGGCACAUAACGCAGAUUUCAAUCACCCCCUUUGUGUACUUAAUUUAUAGAAUAAAAUUAUCUAAACUCCUAUACUUUCUCCCCUAAAUGCCUAUCUUUGUAUCUUUGAACAGGUAAUAAUCAUACAACAUAGUAAAACAUUAAAUAAUCAAUUAUCACCAGCAUUCCGUUUCGUUAGCUGACGUUGUUACAUAAGUGCUCCAGCGUUACCCUUGUUGACAGCAAUCCAAUUGUUACAUCUUGUCUACCCAUUGUACUGAUUACUGGUGUGUCUUCAGGUCAGGAUUGUGUUAAUGCCAAGUAUAAAUAAAUUCUGGUGUACUUGUAUACCGCUGCUACUGCUUUAUAAGUAAAUAACAUGCUCUAUUAUUAUUCCUACAGCGUGCGCACAAGUCAUUUACAUUGUGCCACUUAAUGUGCCAUUUUGUACUGCCAGGGUGUACUUGGGUUCUUUAUACUGUUUCCCUAUGUGCACAAUACAGUAUAUACUGUGGCAGGGACCGCAUGAUUCCACAUGAGGUUAAUGUGGAACAGCAGGCUUUUGCAAAAUUGGAGCAGCAGCAAUAGGCCUGAUGGAAUCCAGUCUGGGUUUUAGCUGAGUCUGUUGUAAGCCACAGCUGUGCUAAUUACUACAACUUGUCUGCUACCUUUAAAAAUGUCUUUGUUCAGUAGGUCAGUGCUCCUGAUGCCAGCAAGUGGCCAGGCGAUAGGUUGGGGUCUGGGCUUACGUUAGGAGCCAUUUGGAAUUUGUACUCUUUUUAUUUUUUAUAAUUUGGAAUGUUGUGCUGCUGUUUAAAGGUUACCUGUAAAAUCUGACCUGCAAAACCUGCAUGUACUGUGUAACCUGCCU